GAUGAACGCUGGCGGCGUGCCUAAUACAUGCAAGUCGAGCGAACAGAUAAGGAGCUUGCUCCUUUGAAGUUAGCGGCGGACGGGUGAGUAACACGUGGGUAACCUACCUAUAAGACUGGGAUAACUUCGGGAAACCGGAGCUAAUACCGGAUAACAUUUCGAACCGCAUGGUUCUAAAGUGAAAGAUGGUUUUGCUAUCACUUAUAGAUGGACCCGCGCCGUAUUAGCUAGUUGGUAAGGUAACGGCUUACCAAGGCGACGAUACGUAGCCGACCUGAGAGGGGGAGCGGCCACACUGGAAGUGAGACAAGGUCCAGACGCCUACGGGAGGCAGCAGUAGGGAAUCUUCCGCAAUGGGCGAAAGCCUGACGGAGCAACGCCGCGUGAGUGAUGAAGGGUUUCGGCUCGUAAAACUCUGUUAUUAGGGAAGAACAAAUGUGUAAGUAACUGUGCACAUCUUGACGGUACCCAAUCAGAAAGCCACGGCUAACUACGUGCCAGCAGCCGCCGCCG
This 513-nucleotide ribosomal RNA is filed under the name uncultured bacterium. RNAcentral describes it as "partial 16S ribosomal RNA". It matches the Rfam family "Bacterial small subunit ribosomal RNA", at positions 28 to 523 of the family's 1533-position model. The record is from RNAcentral.